CGAUAUGGCACAGUGGUAGUGCCACUGCCUGCGACGCAGAAGAUUUCGGGUUCGGUUCCUGGCAGGUCAG
Molecule: non-coding RNA, 70 nt
Organism: Phthorimaea operculella (potato tuberworm)
Lineage: Eukaryota; Metazoa; Arthropoda; Insecta; Lepidoptera; Gelechiidae
Source: the annotation of a GenBank genome assembly